UACGUAGGGGGCAAGCGUUGUCCGGAAUUAUUGGGCGUAAAGAGCGUGUAGGCGGUCCGAUAAGUCGGCUGUGAAAGUCCAGGGCUCAACUCUGGAAUGCCGGCCGAUACUGUCGGACUAGAGUCCGGAAGAGGUGAGUGGAAUUCCCGGUGUAGCGGUGAAAUGCGCAGAUAUCGGGAGGAACACCAAUGGCGAAGGCAGCUCACUGGGACGGCACUGACGCUGAGACGCGAAAGCGUGGGGAGCAAACAGG
RNAcentral lists this ribosomal RNA (253 nucleotides) under uncultured bacterium. Its description in RNAcentral is "partial 16S ribosomal RNA". It matches the Rfam family "Bacterial small subunit ribosomal RNA", at positions 524 to 776 of the family's 1533-position model. The record is from RNAcentral.